AAGGAUUGUGGGCUAAUCUAGUUACUGAAGUUUCUGACAGUCAGAUAUCAAAAUGAAAGUAGCUAUCGUCCUCCUUGUUCUCUUGCCAUUGGCUUUCUGCAACCCAAUAUCUGAUCUACUCCACACAUUACAAAAGGAUAUUCAUCUUGAUGUAAUCAAGGAAAAUGUUAACAAAAUUGCUGCUCAAAUCGGAAGUGACGGUACUGAAGCUCAAUGUGAAACCGAAUGUCAUAAAAUCGCCACCCAAGCCAUCCUUGAUUCUGGCUGUGCUUUCUUCUGUAAAGGAUUUCAAUCCUUGGUUGGCCACUUCCAUCUUGGUUAAAUGAAAUAAAUAGUUGAACGAAAAUAUAUUGUGGUUGUGUAUAAUUUGUUUAAUGAAAUAAAUAGUUGAAAGAAAA
Molecule: long non-coding RNA, 398 nt
Organism: Patella vulgata (common limpet)
Lineage: Eukaryota; Metazoa; Mollusca; Gastropoda; Patellidae
Exons: 4
Source: RefSeq, a predicted model, not a curated record